This 495-nucleotide ribosomal RNA is filed under the name uncultured bacterium. RNAcentral describes it as "partial 16S ribosomal RNA". It matches the Rfam family "Bacterial small subunit ribosomal RNA", at positions 30 to 507 of the family's 1533-position model. The record is from RNAcentral.
UGAACGCUGGCGGCGUGCCUAAUACAUGCACGUCGAGCGAACAGACGCGGAGCUUGCUCCUCUGACGUUAGCGGCGGACGGGUGAGUAACACGUGGAUAACCUACCUAUAAGACUGGGAUAACUUCGGGAAACCGGAGCUAAUACCGGAUAAUAUAUUGAACCGCAUGGUUCAAUAGUGAAAGACGGUUUUGCUGUCACUUAUAGAUGGAUCCGCGCCGCAUUAGCUAGUUGGUAAGGUAACGGCUUACCAAGGCAACGAUGCGUAGCCGACCUGAGAGGGUGAUCGGCCACACUGGAACUGAGACACGGUCCAGACUCCUACGGGAGGCAGCAGUAGGGAAUCUUCCGCAAUGGGCGAAAGCUUGACGGAGCAACGCCGCGUGAGUGAUGAAGGUCUUCGGAUCGUAAAACUCUGUUAUUAGGGAAGAACAAAUGUGUAAGUAACUAUGCACGUCUUGACGGUACCUAAUCAGAAAGCCACGGCUAACUACGUG